GACGAACGCUGGCGGCGUGCCUAAUACAUGCAAGUCGACCUUAGUGGCGAACGGGUGAGUAACACGUGGGUAACCUGCCCAUCAGAAGGGGAAAACAUUUGGAAACACGUGCUAAUACCGAAUACGGAUGGAUGGACACGCUGUUCAUUAGCUAGUGGGUGAGGUAACGGUUCUCCAAGGGGCCGAUGCAUAGCCGACCUGAGAGGGUGAUCGGCCACAGUGGGACGGAGACACGGCCCAAACUCCUACGGGAGGCAGCAGUAGGGAAUCUUCGGAAAUGGACGAAAGUCUGACCGAGCAACGCCGCGUGAGUGAAGAAGGUGUUCGGAUCGUAAAACUCUGUUGUUAGAGAAGCGGUAUCUAAAGAGAAAGCCACGGCUAACUACGUGCCAGCAGCCGCGGUAAUUC
Molecule: ribosomal RNA, 408 nt
Filed under: uncultured bacterium
Lineage: Bacteria
Description: partial 16S ribosomal RNA
Rfam family: Bacterial small subunit ribosomal RNA
Source: RNAcentral